This 200-nucleotide ribosomal RNA is filed under the name uncultured bacterium. Its description in RNAcentral is "partial 16S ribosomal RNA". It matches the Rfam family "Bacterial small subunit ribosomal RNA", at positions 8 to 208 of the family's 1533-position model. The record is from RNAcentral.
AGAGUUUGAUCCUGGCUCAGGACGAACGCUGGCGGCGUGCUUAACACAUGCAAGUCGAGCGGAAAGGCCCUUCGGGGUACUCGAGCGGCGAACGGGUGAGUAACACGUGAGCAACCUGCCCCUGGCUCUGGGAUAGCUCCCGGAAACGGGGAUUAAUACCGGAUAUUCACUUCCUUCGGCAUCGUCGGGGGUGGAAAGUU